GACGAACGCUGGCGGCGUGCUUAACACAUGCAAGUCGAACGGAAAGGCCCUGCUCUUGUGGUGUGCUCGAGUGGCGAAAGGGUGAGUAACACGUGAGUAACCUGCCCUUGACUUUGGGAUAACUUCAGGAAACUGGGGCUAAUACCGGAUAGGAGCUCCUGCUGCAUGGUGGGGGUUGGAAAGUUUCGGCGGUAGGGGAUGGACUCGCGGCUUAUCAGCUUGUUGGUGGGGUAGUGGCUUACCAAGGCUUUGACGGGUAGCCGACCUGAGAGGGUGACCGGGGCCAUUGGGCCUGCGGGACGGCGCAGUCUCCUACGGGAGGCAACAGUGGGGAAUAUGGCACAGUGGGCGGAAGCCUGAUGCAGCGACGCCGGGUGCGGGAUGACGGCCUUCGGGUUGUGAACCGCUUUCGGCUGAGACGAAGCGUGAGUGACGGUAAUGAGUAAAGAAGCAACGGCUAACUACGUG
Molecule: ribosomal RNA, 468 nt
Filed under: uncultured bacterium
Lineage: Bacteria
Description: partial 16S ribosomal RNA
Rfam family: Bacterial small subunit ribosomal RNA
Source: RNAcentral